This 320-nucleotide long non-coding RNA is filed under the name Physcomitrium patens. RNAcentral's name for it is "long non-coding RNA (PPAT_LNC000929)". The record is from RNAcentral. Lineage: Eukaryota; Viridiplantae; Streptophyta; Bryopsida; Funariales; Funariaceae.
AAGUAGACGAUGGGAAGUUAUUGUGAAGAAUGGUAAUGAACGGGGGAAUUAUGAUGCAUUGAAUAUUGGGAUUGGAGGAGGAGACUAUGGAGUUUGAAUUUGUGUGAAGAAGUAUAGGGAGAAUGACAGUUGGAUGUGAAGGGUUCCAGUGAUUGGAUUAUGGAGUGAUUGUGUGCUGUCUUUUGGGAUGGUGUGGUAUUACUUGAGAUUGUUGUCACACGUUUGGAAAAGAGGAGAGACAGUGAAGCCAUGAGAUAGGAUCAUCGAUUGUGAUAUUUUAUUGGUUGGAAGAGUACACUGUUACGGAGCAUAACAAGACG